GACGAACGCUGGCGGCGUGCUUAACACAUGCAAGUCGAACGGUGAAGCGCCGUCCUUUCUGGUCGGUGUGGAUGAGUGGCGAACGGGGGAAUAACACGUGAGUAACCUGCUCCCUCCUUCUGGACAACCGCAUGCAAGUGUGGCUAAUACAGGAUAUUCUGGAUCUGUUGCAUGAUGGGUCUGGGACAGAUUUUGUUUCGGUGGGGGAUGGGCUCGCGGCCUAUCAGCUUGUUGGUGGGGUGAUGGCCUACCAAGGCGGUGACGAGUAGCCGGCCUGAGAGGAUCGACGGCCAUGCAGGUGCGGCAACACGGCCCCUCCUCCGAGAGGAGGCAGCAGGGAAUAUUACUGCACAGUCGGAGGAAGCACGGUGCAGCGACGCGGCGUGGGUGAUGGAGGCCGGCGGGUUGAGAACCGCUAUCGGGGAUGAAGCAGGGCUGCAGUGUCUGUGGGCGGGUUGACGGUAGCUGGAUAAGAAGCGCCGGCUAACUACGUG
RNAcentral lists this ribosomal RNA (494 nucleotides) under uncultured bacterium. Its description in RNAcentral is "partial 16S ribosomal RNA". It matches the Rfam family "Bacterial small subunit ribosomal RNA", at positions 28 to 507 of the family's 1533-position model. The record is from RNAcentral.